Dermochelys coriacea (leatherback sea turtle) is the source of this 2051-nucleotide long non-coding RNA. RefSeq lists it as uncharacterized. The transcript has 3 exons. The record is from RefSeq and is a predicted model, not a curated record. Lineage: Eukaryota; Metazoa; Chordata; Testudines; Dermochelyidae.
UCAACAGACAGCUUAGAUGAAAAAGGUGCAGAAAGAGAAGGAAAGAAAAAAUGAAGAUACAAAAACAGCUUUUAAUUUUAACAAGCUUGGUUUUCACCCUGACAGAUAUGAUUCUGACCAACACUUCCUGCAGGAAAAACAUGGGAAAUUUGAAUGUCUCUACAGAACAGAUUUGGCAGGCUCUCCAUGCAGGGUGGCCACCAGAUUGCUGUGAAAAGAAGUCCGGACUGUGCAUCCCCAGGUGUUUUAAGGCUCCAAAGUUUGAACGGACCUCAGGCUCUGCUACAGUCUUGGGGUCCCUAGGUAUACUUGGAGUGAAGACCCUCUGUCUAACAUUCCCUCCUGAGAAUUGCAAUCACAUGGCCUAGUGCAGCACUUGCCUCUGAAGUUCACAUACUGAAGGAAGAGAAACUACUGCUUCCCUUCUCCAGCCUGCCCAGCACCCAGUUUGGCUCGGUGUCUCACAGUGUACGCAAAGAGUGCCCCAAUAUAUAACUAAUGCAUGCGAUAAUGUGGCUUACUGUUUAUACAUGAAAGUGGCCAUUCUUUAUAUUUGUUGUAAUGCAAACUAUAUAAUGGCUUUACAUAUAUUAAUGUGAACCUCCUAACAUGCCUGGAGGGCAGUGUUUGUUGCAAAGCCAGAUAAAGGGCAACAAUUUUAAGAGAAAACAGUCUAUAUUAACAAAGUUUGCAUGUAAUGACCGGAUUCCUCUAAGCUCCAGGGAUGGGAAAGAUUAUUUGUCAGAUGCCUUUUAGUUACAGACAAAUUUCUGGAGAAAUAAUUAGGUUUGUAACACUGUGGCCAGCUUGUCUUCCCAUUGAUCAGGGAGCUAACACUGGAUUGCCUUCAGGGCUGUCAACUGCAAACUGAAUAGUAGCUCAGAAAGGACAGAUAAAACAAGUUGUUAUUUAGCCUGGUCAUUAUCCAGCUUUUAUUGUGCUUGGCAGAUCUUCUCUUUUUGUUAGAUCAACUAAAGAUGUCAAAACUAGCCCUUACUUUCAUUGAACUGUGGUAGGCGACAUCAGAGUGUAUAGACAAUACCUGCCACCAAUAGUAUCUGCCAUCAACAUCUAGCUGUCUAAUGGCUUUCCUGACAUUCUAAAGAUACCCAUGUUAAAUCCCAUAAUAAUGCACCUCUUAUUAGCCCUCACUCUCAGAAGAAAAAAUGUUUGGGGCACCCAAAAGCUUGCAGUAAAAGUAACCAGGUGUCAUAAAGCUUCACUUGAUUAUACCAGGGGUAGGGAGAAAAAUACUCGAAAGUCCAAAAAUGGCAUAACAACAAUUGAAAUGUUUUUGACAAGCAUUUCCACAAUGAUUCGUUUCUAGGGGACAGCCUGACCAUAACCUUUUGCCAGAAAACGUUUAUAACCAUGCGUCUCACAGGUUAGAGUGAGACCUUUAAAGCCUUUAAUGUAGUUCUAAGCAGGUCAGCAAAGUAUAAUGGCAAACCAAAUAGAGUUUUUGAUAAUUGUUUCUUUAAAAAAAUACAGUUCUAAGUUAUAGCAUGCGUUCUCGGAAAGGUUAGCUGUACUUUAAAGCAGCAAAUCCUUGCAACCAAUUUUCAGUGGAUAUUGCUGGAAAUAGGUCAGUUAAUUCAGUGUCUGAAUUAUUAAGACUGAGCUUCUGUGCUUCUCUUAAUUUCAGUGAGAGCCUGCAAAACAUUAUACAAGUGAAUUGGGAUUUAUUCUGUCAUUACUUUAGCCGUUAUUCAGACAGGGAGCACUAUAUUGUUUACAUAGUAUAAUAUGCUACCUUAAAUACUAGGGAUCAUAUGUUUUUUUCAGGGACAGAGUAGCUGGAUGUUUUGGCUAAAAUGAACAGCAGAAAAAUAGCUUAAAAUGUUAACUUUAAAUUGUCAUCAUUAUAGUGCAGAGUGAAGAUUUCCUAUUUCUUAUAUACACAAAGAAUUUCUGACUCUGCUGUAAACCUUUCCCCUAAACAUCUGAAGGGUUAGCUACAUGGUAGAUAGAACUGGGGGGAAAAAACUUGGUUAUAAUUAACACCUUUAGUUAUUUCGGUUCAAGUCUGCCUGUGGACACUCCUAUUUCAU